This 845-nucleotide ribosomal RNA is filed under the name Galatheanthemum profundale. RNAcentral's name for it is "partial 12S small subunit ribosomal RNA". It matches the Rfam family "Bacterial small subunit ribosomal RNA", at positions 320 to 1494 of the family's 1533-position model. The record is from RNAcentral. Lineage: Eukaryota; Metazoa; Cnidaria; Anthozoa; Actiniaria; Galatheanthemidae.
UGAAACAAGGGGAAGGCUCACGUAGAGGCAGCAGUAGAGAAUCUUGUGCAAUGCACGAAAGUAUGACACAGAGAGGACACAUUUAAUUGAGCCCGUCAAAUUAAGUGCCAGCCGACGCGGUUAGACUUAAGGGCUGGUCUUUAUAAGUAAAAAGGCGUAAAGGAUGUGUAGGCCAAGAAAUUAUCCCAAGAAGGUAAAUGGAAUUUUUCUGGAGCGGUAGAAUGUGAGGAUAGAAAAUAGAACACCUAAGGUUAAAACUAUUUACCACAAGAUAGGCUGAAACAUGAAAGUGUGGGGAGCAAACAGGAUUAGAGACCCUGGUAGUCCACUCUGUGAACUUUGAAGAGGAUGCUUAGCAGGCCCGAAAGGUAAAAUCUUCCGCCUGAGUAGUACGAUCGCAAGAUUAAAAUUCAAAAACUUUGGCUGUUCACUAUUUCGAUUAGAGGAGCGUGUAGUUUAAUUCGAUGGUCCGCGCGUUACCUUACCCCAGCUUGAAUCUGUGACCGGUAUUGCAUGGCCGUCGUAAGUCCGUGUGUUAAAUUAGAAGGGACUCAAGCCGGGCUCCCGCCCGGAGGAAGUCAGGUCUUAUGAUCCGAAUGCUGGGGGAUUUUAUGCGCUACAUUUUCUUAUAUAAUGAGAGACUUGAAAGGUAAGCCUCUAAAGUAAGAGUUCGGAAGGCCGCUGUAAAACGACUGGAAGUUGGAUUUAAUAGUAAUCGGAAAGUAGGGCGUUCCGGUGAAUUGGUACAAGUGUUAGCACAAAUUGCCCGUCACCUUUACCUAGAAUGGUUAUUCGGACGCCUUCGGUGGUUACGAAUGCCUACGAGGUAAAGCAAGUCGUAACAU